Molecule: ribosomal RNA, 1221 nt
Filed under: Leuconostoc pseudomesenteroides
Lineage: Bacteria; Bacillati; Bacillota; Bacilli; Lactobacillales; Lactobacillaceae
Description: bacterial SSU rRNA
Rfam family: Bacterial small subunit ribosomal RNA
Source: RNAcentral
GCUACAUGCAAGUCGAACGCUUCUUUUUCCACCGGAGCUUGCUCCACCGGAAAAAGAGGAGUGGCGAACGGGUGAGUAACACGUGGGUAACCUGCCCAUCAUAAGGGGAUAACACUUGGAAACAGGUGCUAAUACCGUAUAACAAUCAAAACCGCAUGGUUUUGAUUUGAAAGGCGCUUUCGGGUGUCGCUGAUGGAUGGACCCGCGGUGCAUUAGCUAGUUGGUGAGGUAACGGCUCACCAAGGCCACGAUGCAUAGCCGACCUGAGAGGGUGAUCGGCCACAUUGGGACUGAGACACGGCCCAAACUCCUACGGGAGGCAGCAGUAGGGAAUCUUCGGCAAUGGACGAAAGUCUGACCGAGCAACGCCGCGUGAGUGAAGAAGGUUUUCGGAUCGUAAAACUCUGUUGUUAGAGAAGAACAAGGAUGAGAGUAACUGUUCAUCCCUUGACGGUAUCUAACCAGAAAGCCACGGCUAACUACGUGCCAGCAGCCGCGGUAAUACGUAGGUGGCAAGCGUUGUCCGGAUUUAUUGGGCGUAAAGCGAGCGCAGGCAGUUUCUUAAGUCUGAUGUGAAAGCCCCCGGCUCAACCGGGGAGGGUCAUUGGAAACUGGGAGACUUGAGUGCAGAAGAGGAGAGUGGAAUUCCAUGUGUAGCGGUGAAAUGCGUAGAUAUAUGGAGGAACACCAGUGGCGAAUGCGGCUCUCUGGUCUGUAACUGACGCUGAGGCUCGAAAGCGUGGGGAGCAAACAGGAUUAGAUACCCUGGUAGUCCACGCCGUAAACGAUGAGUGCUAAGUGUUGGAGGGUUUCCGCCCUUCAGUGCUGCAGCUAACGCAUUAAGCACUCCGCCUGGGGAGUACGACCGCAAGGUUGAAACUCAAAGGAAUUGACGGGGGCCCGCACAAGCGGUGGAGCAUGUGGUUUAAUUCAAGCACGCGAGAACCUUACCAGUCUGACAUCUUUGACACUCUAGAGAUAGAGCUUCCCUUCGGGGCAAGUGACAGUGCUGCAUGGUUGUCGUCAGCUCGUGUCGUGAGAUGUUGGGUUAAGUCCCGCAACGAGCGCAACCCUUAUUGUUAGUUGCCAUCAUUCAGUUGGGCACUCUAGCAAGACUGCCGGUGACAAACCGGAGGAAGGUGGGGAUGACGUCAAAUCAUCAUGCCCCUUAUGACCUGGGCUACACACGUGCUACAAUGGGAAGUACAACGAGUUGCGAAG